UAACUUCCCUCCCCCAGGGAAGAAGACACUUUCUGGCAGCAGACUUUCUGUCCUGGCCCUCUGGUGCUUAGAAUUCUUCCACCCUCUCUUCCACACUGACACCUGAGUGCAGGAGGUCACUUUGUAAAUGUGGCAUUUAGGGAGGUGCACCAAAGAGUCUGUUGUUCUCUGCAUUUUAAACAAUUGUGGCUUUCACUGUGGUUUUGGUGAGCUUUGUCAAGGGUGAGAGCUACACUUAUCUGUGGGUAUAAGGUAAGGAUAAGUAUUUAGAACACAGUUAGAAAAUUAUACUGGUUUACUAAAGUGGAAGUAGUGGGAUCUCUUCCAGGGUCAGUGGCCCUGCUAACCACAGGUUAUGGUCUAGGUUUACAGAACCAGACAUAAAUUCUCUCCUAUUGAGUGUGACUUGUGCCUCAUUCAACAAGUGCUGGUUACCCUCUGGAUGUAAGUGCCCCAAUUGCCUCUUUCAGGAUCUCUUGCCAUUCAAGUCAUUGUUCCCAUAGUUCAAAUCUAUAGAUGUGAGAACCUAAAGGAUACCCUGCUAAGCAAAAUAAUCCAGUCAUAGAAAGACAAAGCCUGUCUGGCCUUAUGCAUAUGCCCAGGUUUUUUUUGUUUGUCUGUUUGGUUGGUUGGUUUUUUUGUUUUUAAAAAGUCUCUGAAAGAAGUAGAAGCAGAGUUAGAAGACAGAGGAGUAGGUUACCAGAGACUUGGAGGAUGGGGAGUGAAGAGAGUCCUAAUAUAAUGACCAAGUAGUGCAAUGCCUCAGUCAGGCAGAAGGAAUCCUCUGAAAGCUGGUCAUAGACUGGUGACAAAAUUAUCACAUACUGUAGAUUUCAGAAUUGCUUAGGUUAGAUCUUAAAUUAUUAUUACUGUAAAGUGAUAGGUAAGUGAGGGUCUAUGUUGGCUUGCUAGAAUCACUCCACAGUGUCUGUGUACCUACAAGCUGUUAUUCCACACUCUAGAUUAGUCAACCAUGGACAAACACAUGGUUGAUUCCAGGAGUUUUCACAAGGCAAAACUUGAAUUUCUUACAUACUGAGACCAAAUCAGUACUGAAUACAUAUGAUCGAGCUGAUAUGUCAGCAAAUCAAGCUGUAGUCUCCUCUCUCCUCAUAGAAAUCCACUAUUCUUCAGCAAGUGUUUCCUGGGUGUGUGCACCUUACUGAUUCUUACAAGUUUAGCUAGGCCUGCUAUGAUUGUAUAUGUGAUAAAUGUGUACAGACAUAUUCCCCCUUGUUCUCUUAAAAAUAGCUUAGCCACUGUUUAUAUCACAUUUGUACUGUGUUGGUUAUUACAGCAGUCCAUAAAAGUAUAUGAUAGGAUCUAUAUAGGUUAUAAACAAGCAGAUAUCAUUUUAUAAAAAGGCCAUGAACAUCUUCAGAUUUAAGGACCAAUAUCCUGAAACUAGUCUUCCCAGAUAUAACAGUGACCGUGUGCAAUGACUCACAAUCAUUCUGCAGUGUAUGCAUGUAUAAAAAUAUCUCUUUUUAUCCUGAAAAACAUAUACCUGUUAUUAGCUUAAUUCAAAUUUAAACCACAAUUUAGUUUGGGCAAAUAACCAAUGCCUCAUCAAAACGUUUGUCUUCAGAUAUAUUUCAGCAGUCUUAAGAGAUUACAUUUUUUUCUUAUGAGCCAUUAAAGUUCUAAUAUUAACUCUGUAUAAAGAUAGCAUAAAUUUUCAGUUUUUCAUGAUGGUGAAAUACAGAAAGGAAACACCAUGUUUUUUAUUUUUGAGAACUGCUUCAUGGCCCUCACAGCCUGCCACCCACUGCAGUAAGCAAUGUGCUUGCUGCUUCUGACUUGCAUUCUUUUGGGGAUGUUGGCAAGCAGUCUGCUCAGGAUGUAACUCCUGCCUGAGGCUGGUUAAUCCCCCUCCUAGAUUAUUCAAUUCCUGGCAUGCAGGACUUGUUGAAGGAUGCGCAUGUGGCCACACCAGUAGCUACUUUAACAGUGAAGAGCAGGGACUGCUUCAUUCUGCCAGCAUGCUGGAUACUGUGUUCAAGAUUUAUUUUGUUGAGCUCCACCUGUCCCUGUCCCUGACACAAAUAGAAAAAACAUCUUGAUGCCCCUCAUCCUGCAAAAGAAAAAUUCCAGAAAAUUGAAGUCAACAUCCUCACUGUCUCGAAUGCAGUGCUGUCAAUGUUGUUACACUAAGCUGCCCAGCAGAUGGAUCUAAAGCAAUCUCUGUGGCAUGUGAAGCUAAUGUUCCUGUAGGUGGUAUCUUCCUGGCCUCACUGCAGGCCCCAGCCUUGCUAGGGCAGAAGGGGUGUUGACUUAAAGCUCUUGUUAUCAUGUUCCUCACCACUGUCAACAGGAAGCAAUCUGUGGCAUCCCUGAGCUUUUCCAGCCUAUCAUUUUCUAACUUCCUCCAUGGUGGGGACAACUUGUAACCUUUUCUGAGAAGAGUCUGAGUUCUGGGUUUGACAGAGCUGGUUCUUGUUGUGUGAAGGAUGAUAAUGUCCUUUCAAAAUUAUACUGUUGUGAUGAAGAUUUCUGUCUAGAUGAAGGGAUAUGACAUUGGUGACUUUGCCUUCCAUGAUUUAGCUGUGACUUCAUUCCAGUGGUAGGUGGAUCUGACUAGGACAAAAAGUCUCAUUCACAGAAGACACUGCCAAAGAGAAAGAGCAUCAGCUGCUUACAAGCCACGGUCUCUGAUUACGUGCUUCAUCUUGCAUUGUGUUACUGCUCUCUUUUUCCCUUCAGGCAGUGGUGACAUUGAAGCUUGGUGAGUCGAUGCAGCUUAACAAAAAUCAUCCAGAACUAUUAUGGAAAUGUUCCUGAUUUCCUAGUCAGAGAGCAAAUAACCUCUCCUUUCUAUUCUCGCAUGAGAGAUUUGGGUGAGGGGCAAGGAAUGUUUUCACAUCCUAUUUUUGGACUCUUUUUACACUGUUCUUUGCCAUUUGUUUGUCUUAUUUAUUUAUUGGUCCACAUGAUAUUAUUGCUUAUGUUUAUAAGCACAAGGACCUCUGUGGUAUUACGGGGUUCCACUGUGAUAUUAGUGGAAUUAGCAAUACAGUUAUUGACAGUCCGAAAACAAAACACGUGACAGAGGUACCAGAAGGUUGUAAUACCGUAAUUUGAAAAUACCAAUUGUCUACUCUUAGAAAGGAACAACCAGGGAAGUAAAAGGUUUCUAAAACAAAGAUUUAAAAAAAAAAUGUAAAGUAGAAAUUGAAGAAGACUCUAGAAGACGAAAGGCCUCUAUUAUCAAAGAGAGAGACAAUUAAUAUUGUGAAAAUGGCUACAUUAUCAAAAGUAGUAGUCUAUGUAUGCAAUGUAAUCCUAAUAAAAUUCCAAUUCUUCACAUAAAUAGAAAAAAUAAUUCUAAGGUUCUUAUGAAAGUAAAAAGAGCCAGGACUAGUCAAGCCAUAGCCACCUGGUUCUGAACAGAGUUACUGAAAUUUGCAUUGGUGAAAAUACAGCAACAAAUGGUGCUGGUCAACUGGAUACACCUUAGAAGAAUAAAACUAGGUUUACCCCUUUCACUCUGCGCAAAAGUCAGUUAAAACCAAUCAAAGGCUUUAAUGCAAAACCCAAAGCUUGCCAGUUGGUAGAGAAAAACACUUCAGGAUAAAGGAAAAAGGGAUUUCCAAAAACAAUUCCAAUAAGCACAGAAGAUGCACAAAUUCACAGAUGACAUUACGUGAAAUGAAAAACUUAUAUAUUGUAAAGGAAGCAGUUACCAGAGUGAAGAGACAGCCCACAAAAUGGGAAAUGAUCUUUGCCAACUCUGAUAGAGGAGAAAUACCUGGAAUAUUAUAAGGACC
Molecule: long non-coding RNA, 3767 nt
Filed under: Mus musculus (house mouse)
Lineage: Eukaryota; Metazoa; Chordata; Mammalia; Rodentia; Muridae
Description: long non-coding RNA chr12:117630013-117633780
Source: RNAcentral